GGGUACACAUGGUUGAACUCAACCACUAGUUGCCCAUUAGGAGAGACUUUCCCAGUGUACUCCAUUUCAAUACUUUUUCUUUUAUCUCUUUUUCAGAUCUUCCUCAGAAGAAUAGGCUUGUUGCUUUACAGUGUUAGUGAUCCAUUCCCUUUGACGAUCCCUAGGUGGAGAUGGGGCAUGAGGAUCCUCCAGGGGAAAAGCUCACUACCACUGGGCAACAACCCUAGGUCAGGAGGUUCUGUCAGGAUACUUUCCUGGUCUCAGAUAAGAAGAUAAAGUCUCAAAAACAACCACCACACGUCAAGGAGAACAUGGACAACUGCCACAUCAGUGACACUGAUCACAUGGGCAAAUCAUUCUGUUCCAUCUGGUCCCCAAAGUCUCUCUUAAAGCCUUACAGAAGAACUUUGCCAAUCAUUUACAUACUUCGGGAUGGCUUGGCAUGCCAUGGGAUAUAAUAGGACAAGUGAGAGCUCUUCAUUGUUCCUAUCUGCCAAAUCAUUACACUUCCUACAAGCAGUGCAGAGAGCUGAGUCUUCAGCAGGUCCAAGAAAUUUGAACACAUUGAAGGAGGUCAGCCUUCCUACCUGAAGAUCAACAUGCUUGGCACUCUAGCACUUUAGGAUAGCUGAAUGAAUGUGUAUUUCUUAGUCUCUUUCUUCCUUGUCUUUGCUCUUUGUUCUCUAUCUAAAGUGUGUCUUACCCAUUUCCAUCU
This 715-nucleotide long non-coding RNA is filed under the name Piliocolobus tephrosceles (Ugandan red Colobus). RNAcentral's name for it is "lncRNA (ENSPTEG00000023205.1)". The stretch from base 101 to 226 matches the Rfam family "X-chromosome inactivation gene exon 4". The record is from RNAcentral. Lineage: Eukaryota; Metazoa; Chordata; Mammalia; Primates; Cercopithecidae.